CCUACGUGUGGCAGCAGUGGGGAAUAUUGGGCAAUGGGCGCAAGCCUGACCCAGCAACGCCGCGUGAAGGAAGAAGGCUUUCGGGUUGUAAACUUCUUUUCUCAGGGACGAAGCAAGUGACGGUACCUGCGGAAUAAGCCACGGCUAACUACGUGCCAGCAGCCGCGGUAAUCCGUAGGUGGCAAGCGUUAUCCGGAUUUACUGGGUGUAAAGGGCGUGUAGGCGGGGACGCAAGGCAGAUGUGAAAACCACGGGCUCAACCGGUGGCCUGCAUUUGAAACUGUGUUUCUUGAGUACUGGAGAGGCAGACGGAAGUCCUGGUGUAGCGGUGAAAUGCGUAGAUAUUAGGAGGAACACCAGUGGCGAAGGCGGUCUGCUGGACAGCAACUGACGCUGAGGCGCGAAAGCGUGGGGAGCAAACAGGAUUAGAUACCCGGGUAGUC
Molecule: ribosomal RNA, 443 nt
Filed under: uncultured bacterium
Lineage: Bacteria
Description: partial 16S ribosomal RNA
Rfam family: Bacterial small subunit ribosomal RNA
Source: RNAcentral